GAUGAAGAACGUAGCGAAAUGCGAUAAAUAAUGUGAAUUGCAGAAUUCAGUGAAUCAUCGAAUCUUUGAACGCACAUUGCGCCCGCCAGUAUUCUGGCGGGCAUGCCUGUUCGAGCGUCAUUUCAACCCUCAGGACCCUUUGGACCUGGUGUUGGGGCUCGGCCGCUACCCCGCGGCCGUCCCCGAAAGAUAGUGGCGGUCUCGCUGUAGCGUCCUCUGCGUAGUAAUUACACCUCGCACUGGAACGCGGCGCGGCCACGCCGUUAAACACCCCACUUCUCAAGGUUGACCUCGGAUCAGGUAGGAAUACCCGCUGAACUUAAGCAUAUCAAUAAGCGGAGGGA
RNAcentral lists this unclassified non-coding RNA (344 nucleotides) under soil metagenome. RNAcentral's name for it is "partial contains 5.8S ribosomal RNA, internal transcribed spacer 2, and large subunit ribosomal RNA". The stretch from base 1 to 120 matches the Rfam family "5.8S ribosomal RNA", at positions 35 to 154 of the family's 154-position model. The record is from RNAcentral.